Hevea brasiliensis (rubber tree) is the source of this 538-nucleotide RNA transcript. RefSeq lists it as uncharacterized. The record is from RefSeq and is a predicted model, not a curated record. The transcript has 2 exons. NCBI's taxonomy places the organism in Eukaryota, Viridiplantae, Streptophyta, Magnoliopsida, Malpighiales, Euphorbiaceae.
UUUCUUUUCUUUUCUUUCUGCGUUUUUUUAACUCUUCCUGUUUGGUUGCUGAGAAAAAGGAUGGUAAAAAAUAAAGAGAGAGAGAGAGAGAGAGAGAGAGAGAGAGAGAGAGAGAGAGAGUAAACCCACUACGCUGACAAACAAGCAGGACAGACAUCAUCAUGAGAAGUCCCUCAUUAAUAUUUAACCAGAAACAACCAAUGGCACCAAUAAGAUGGAUGGUUGAAUGUCAUUGUCCUGAAUGAAGUUGUAAACAAGAACAACACAGGUGAUGUGGUUUUUGCACUUGGUUUUCAUUACAACAUAUGGUGGGAUUGCUGAACUUUUUCAGGAUGUUGGUUUUCUCAAAACUAAAAUAAUCAUCAGUAUAGGUUUUUGCUUUACAUCAGCUUUCUGGAAACCACGUAUUACAGUGUAGUAUCCCUGUUAAAGGAGCGCGUGUUUUUGCUAUUUUGCAAGCAUUGAUAGAGUUAUUGUGGAUUUUCACAUCAAACUGAUAUUAAUUAUCUAUUAAACUGCCUUAAAAUGGAUUUGUUGA